GUGGGGAAUAUUGGGCAAUGGGCGCAAGCCUGACCCAGCAACGCCGCGUGAAGGAAGAAGGCUUUCGGGUUGUAAACUUCUUUUACCAGGGACGAAACAAAUGACGGUACCUGGUGAAUAAGCCACGGCUAACUACGUGCCAGCAGCCGCGGUAAUACGUAGGUGGCAAGCGUUGUCCGGAAUUACUGGGUGUAAAGGGCGUGUAGGCGGGACGGCAAGUCAGAUGUGAAAUACCUCGGCUUAACUGGGGUGCUGCAACUGAAACUGUCGUUCUUGAGUGUCGGAGAGGAAAGUGGAAUUCCCAGUGUAGCGGUGAAAUGCGUAGAGAUUGGGAGGAACACCAGUGGCGAAGGCGGCUUUCUGGACGAUAACUGACGCUGAGGCGCGAAAGCGUGGGUAGCAAACAGGAUUAGAAACCCCAGUAGUCC
This 428-nucleotide ribosomal RNA is filed under the name uncultured bacterium. Its description in RNAcentral is "partial 16S ribosomal RNA". It matches the Rfam family "Bacterial small subunit ribosomal RNA", at positions 354 to 796 of the family's 1533-position model. The record is from RNAcentral.